AAUUGAGCAGAUCGGUUAGUUAGUUCAGUUAGUUCCAUCUGGAAUUCGAAUUGUGAUAAAAAUUGCGAUUGGGACGUCUGCUGGCUGUCAAAGUGUGUUUGUUUAUUGUUUAGUAAACAGAAACAGGCAAUACUAUUUUCUUAUUAAUGAUGGAAUAGAAGUAUUACGUAGCACAUGAAGGUGGCUAUAAACUUAUACGUAUUUCGUACAAGUGGCUAAUUUGUUUUAGAUAUUAAAACUGUAACCUAAAUGUAUUAUUUAUUACAGGCCUGGUUUGUGUUAUUGAUAAAAUGUGUUAACAAAGGCCCAGUUGUAAGGAGGAAUAAACUUUCACCUAACUCAUAUUGGUUUAAUUUGUCCAUAAAAAUACAAUAACUUUAUUCCAACAUAUAUCACGUAUCCUAAUUAUGAAACACAUAAAUGAGUAGUUCACUGGAAACAGAACCAAAUACUGGAGAUUCCUAUGGGGCGGAAAAAAUCAAUUAUGCAACCUUGCAACCUGGUAUUCUUUAAAAAGAAUUAAAUCUUGAUUAACUGGUACACCUGACAUCUCAAUGAGUACUAUUUCUAGAGAACACAAAGAAGAGAUUACAAUUUCCAUGAAAAAUGGAGAGACUAUAACUAAAAAAACAGAAACUACUCCAGUGUAUAAGAAAAGAAAAUUGCAUAGUAAUAUCAGUAAACCUGCCAUUAGUGAACAUCAGAGUACAGGACAAACUGGAUCAAAACAAGCCUCUAAGAUGCAUGAUUGUGAAGGAAGUGAUAAAACUGAUUGUACAGCAAUCCAGGAGGUGAAUGAAUCUGAAAAUAAAGCGUCCAAUGGUAUGCUAAAUGAAGAAAGAUUUGAAUUAUCACAAGACAUGAAUUGUGAUAUAGAUAGUUCCAUCAGCCAACAUUUUUUGACAACAUCUUAUGGAACGUUUGACAGCCAAGAGACCAACUUGGAGAUGUUGAUCGGUCGGAAGUCUGACAUUCUACUUUACUGCAAGCUGUGUGGUCUGGAGUACAUCAGGAAGGACGAUGUCGUUCAUCACAUCAACACCGACCACUCCUCGAGAAAGGACUUUGAACUGUCGAUAAAAUGUCCUUUCUGUCCGUACAAGAACAUCAAUAGGUACAAGUUGAGCAGCCACGUCACCUCCCACACAUCAGAGAAGCCCUAUCGGUGCACUCUGUGUAAUUACGGGACCACCAGCAGGACAGUGUUGAAGAAACACAUGUACACGCAUUCGAAGGUGAAACCGUACAAGUGCAGUGAGUGUUCGUACGCGUGUAAUGAAAAAUACAAGUUAAGAGUGCACCACAUGAACCAGCACACCGCUGGUGAGAAGCCGUACCGAUGUCAGAUGUGCAGUUACUCUUCAGCUGAACAGUCGACACUCAAGAGACACUUGAUGGUGCACUCUGAGACUAAACUGUUCACUUGUGAUUCGUGCUCUUAUACCGGAAACAGCAUCCAUGACCUACGAAAGCACGAGGCUCUCCACACGAAUAUGAAACCGUUUGAGUGCCACAUUUGUGGAUUCACUUGUGCUUUUAACUCCAACUUGAGAAAACACAUGAAGAUUCACACAGGCGAUAGGAAAUUUAAAUGUUCUGAAUGCGAUUUCUCUACAAUGUCGAAGUCAAAAAUCAUAGAACACACAUCGAAGCACUCAGAACAAUGCUUGUAUUCAAACACGGAACAGUUGAAAAGCAAGGAGCUUGUGAAAACUGAUGACGUAAUUCGUAGCUAUAAAUGUGAGCAGUGUGACUACGCCGGGACGACUCAAAACAACCUGACCCGCCACAAGGUUAAACACUCACAAGAGAAACCUUACGAGUGUGACCGAUGUGACUAUUCCACCAAUGUUAGAGAAAGACUGAAAAGACAUUUUACAAUUCACAGUAAAGCUUUACCAAAGAAAUGUCCCCUUUGUAAUUUCAACAAGUUUAACAAUUAUAAUUUCAUAAAACAUUUAUUGACCCACACUAAAGAUACAGAAUAUAGAUGUGCGCUUUGUCAUACCAUUAGUCCUACUAGAGAAGAAUUUGUUAAUCAUUUGAAGUCACAUGUGAAUGAGCAUUAUGGUAAUGUUGUUGAAAAUCAAGCUGAAGAAAAUACUUAUAACAAUAAUGUCAAAGCUUUUAAGCAAGAGGAUUCUACUUCGGUUCAGAUGCAAUUAAACUAAUAACUUUGUGAGCACUUGUAGAAAGCACAUUUACAAGAUCCAGACAAAGACCUCAGUGUGUGCUGUGUGUGUGGGAGACUGCUGAGCACACUAACAAUGGACUCACAGCCUUAUGGUACCUCAUAACAAGCUCACUGGAAAGAUGUGAUGAGUGAAGGAAUGAUGGUGAGAAAGUCGGUUAGAAUGUUAAAUGGCGAUCAAACAAAUGUGCAUAGAGUCUUCUCUCACCGAUGAUCUAGUAAGGACAGUUGACAAAAAAAUCCAAGAGAACAGACAUUUCACCAUGACAACGCUAUCUGAUGAUUUCCACAAAUUUCACGAACUCUUUUGUACGAAAUUAUUAUGGACCGCGUAGGUUAUCGUGAUCUGUGUUCCCGAUGGGUUCCGAAAAUGAUCACUGACGUGCACGAAACCAAGAGACUCGGAAGUGCUUUGAAUUUUCUAACACAGUACAGUGAUGAUGGUGAAGAUUUUUUUUUAACAAAAUUGUGACAGGUAAUGAAACUUGGGUCUGUCAUGUCACACCAGAAUCCAAACACCAGUCAAUAAAGUGACACAAUCCCCAAAGAAACAAAAAUUCAAGACAACAAUGUAUGCAUAAAAAAUGCAUUUUCUCUCAAGAGGUGAAACCACUAAUGCGGCAAGGUAUUGCGAAACCUUAAGAAAACUGAGGUGGGCAAUUCAAAACAAACUGAGAGAAAUACUCAGUAACAGAAUUGUGUUGCUCCACAACAAUGCUCGGCCCCAUAUAGCUGGUGACACUCAAAACAUUGGUUCGACAAUUUCGUUGGGAGCAGUUCAAUCACCCGCCCUACAGCUCUGACUUGGCAUCAUCUGACCACCACUUCUUCCUGCACAUGAAGAGAGCAAUCUAGGCAGCCUACACUUUGAAACCGACGAUGAAGUUAAAACUGCAGUGAAAGGUUUGGGCUUUCAUGAAGAAAUAAAAUUGUGUUAAA
Molecule: unclassified non-coding RNA, 3130 nt
Filed under: Homalodisca vitripennis (glassy-winged sharpshooter)
Lineage: Eukaryota; Metazoa; Arthropoda; Insecta; Hemiptera; Cicadellidae
Description: zinc finger protein 708-like, transcript variant X2
Source: RNAcentral